CAAGAGCGUAUGUAAAAGUUGUUGCAGUUAAAAAGCUCGUAGUUGAACCUUGGGUUUGGUUGGCCGGUCCGCUUUUUUGCGAGUACUGGAUUCAACCGAGCCUUUCCUUCUGGCUAACCAGUCGUUUCGGCGGCUGGCGAACCAGGAUUUUUACUUUGAGAAAAUCAGAGUGUUCAAAGCAGGCAUUAGCUUGAAUAUAUUAGCAUGGAAUAAUAGAAUAGGACGUUAUGGUUCUAUUUUGCUGGUUUCUAGGACCAUCGUAAUGAUUAAUAGGGACGGUCGGGGGCAUCAGUAUUCGGUUGUCAGAGGUGAAAUUCUUGGAUUACUGAAGACUAACUACUGCGAAAGCAUUUGCCAAGGACGUUUUCAUUAA
Molecule: ribosomal RNA, 373 nt
Filed under: uncultured eukaryote
Lineage: Eukaryota
Description: partial 18S ribosomal RNA
Rfam family: Eukaryotic small subunit ribosomal RNA
Source: RNAcentral